Molecule: long non-coding RNA, 638 nt
Organism: Cotesia glomerata
Lineage: Eukaryota; Metazoa; Arthropoda; Insecta; Hymenoptera; Braconidae
Exons: 3
Source: RefSeq, a predicted model, not a curated record
UAACAAUAAUGAUGAUGAUGAUUAUGAACGAUUAGAAGCAAUUAAUAAUUACUCUGGAGUUUUAGAAAGUACAGAUUUAUUAAAUAGAAUUUUGUUACGACCUGGUAAUGAUUUCGUUGAAGAAUACAAACAUUUAAGUGGACUUGAUGCUACAGGUAGACGAAAAUUGGUCAAUAUCGUCGUUGAUUGUUUAACUGAAGAAUUUGGCUACCGUCCUUCUUCUUCAGAAAAAAAAACAUUAUGCUGAACAAAUAAUAAAAACUUUUCCAAAGUUAAAAGAUUUAACAUCGACCUAUGGUUAUGAAGUAUAUUAUGAUAGUAAGACACGGUCUGGUUGUAUAGAGUGGAGGUUGAAAACUUUAAAUCAAUCACAGAAGAAAGGUAAAGAAUCAGGGAAAAUUAACAAAGAUAAGCAGGUUCAAGAACAAGAAAAUAUUGUACUUCUGGAUCAAGAAAAUCAGUCUAUCAUAUUAGAAGAUGUCAACAUUGAAGAUGUGACUGAAAUGAUCACAUUUUUAAAAAAUGCUCACCCUGUAAAGGAUCGGAAAAAUAUUGAAAAUGCAAUGAAGAAUACGCUUCUCUUUCGUAGAGAAAAUACUAAAAACCUUUUAGAUGAAUUUCCUCGAUUCAUUGAUACU